AUCUUUUAUAAGCAUGCCUUAAAAAAAACAUUACUAUUCUAGAUUCCCUAUGCAUGUGUAUAGUGGAAGGACUUUUAUUAUGAAUGUGUGCCGCUAGUUGAUGUGAGUUCCGCUUUUCCGGUUUCACUUUCACUUUCACUAGCCGCUUGCUCCGCCAUUUCAUUAGGUGUUAAUGUGCGUGAUUGAAUAAACCUAGCUGAAUGACAUCAUACCGGACAGCGCCCUCCAUCUGCCGGACUUUCAGCUGUUUAGAGCAGAUCGCGACACAGUAUCAACGGGGAAAUCGUGCGGCGGCAGGACAUGCUUUUACAUCAAUGAACGCUGGUGUACAGAUGUAACUGUGUUAAAGAAGAUGUGCUGUCCUGAUCUAGAAAUGCUGUUUGUCAACUGCAAGCCGUUCUAUUCGCUGCAGGAGUUUCAUUUCUCGUUCAUUCUGGUCAGUGUUUACAUUCCUCCGCAAGCGCAUGUGAGCUCAGCUUUACAGAAACUCGCUGAUCAGAUCACAGAGACAGAACAACAACACCCAGACUCUGUUUUAAUCAUUCUCUGGGACUUUAAUAAAGCCAAUCUCUCCCGCAAACUGCCAAAAUACAGACAGCAUGUUACAUGUCCCACAAGAGUCAGUAAUAUAUUGGAUCACUGUUACACCACAAUAAAGGAUGCAUAUCACUCUG
Molecule: long non-coding RNA, 674 nt
Organism: Carassius gibelio (silver crucian carp)
Lineage: Eukaryota; Metazoa; Chordata; Actinopteri; Cypriniformes; Cyprinidae
Exons: 2
Source: RefSeq, a predicted model, not a curated record